GUCCCUUGGCUUAUAAACAAGAAAAGUCCCUAAAAUCAACGAAAAGUCCCUUGGACUAUAAACAAGAAAAGUCCCGUAAGAUCAACGAAAGUCCCUCAGUCCUUUGGACUAUUAGCAAAAAAAGUCUCCUAAAAUCAACGAAAGUACCUCAGUCCCUUAGACUAUAAACAAGAAAAGUCCCUUAAGAUAAACAAAGUCCCUUAGUCCCUUGAAUUAAAAACAAGAAAAGUCCAAUAAGAUCAACGAAAAGUCCCUUGGACUAUAAAGAAGAAAAGUCCCGUAAGAUUAACGAAAGUCCCUCAGUCCCUUACUAUAAAUAGAAAAGGUCCCAUAAGAUCAACGAAAAUUCCCUUGGACUAUAAACAAGAAAAAUCCCUUUAAUAUCAACCAUAAUUAAAAAUACCGAUAUAUUUCGCGAUAUUUCGGCGGGAUACGCCGAUUUUUGGAGAAUCGACGUUUUAUAAUCCGGGAAUAAUCGAAUAUAUUCCCGAUAUAUUGAGAUGAAUUUUUUGUUUCGAGUGUCGGAAUGUAGGACUAUGCCAUUUUUUUGAAAUUCGAAAUUUCGCCCGGAUUUGGAAUUUUGAACCUUGAUAUCAACUAAAGUCCCUCCGUCCCUUGGACUAUAAACAAGAUUUGAAUGUAGGAAGAGAAAAGUCCAUUGGCUUACAAACAAGUAAAGUCCGCUGAGAUCAACGAAAGUCCCUCAGUCCCUUGGAUUAUAAACAAAAAUGUCACUUAAGAUCNNNNNNNNNNNNNNNNNNNNNNNNNNNNNNNNNNNNNNNNNNNNNNNNNNNNNNNNNNNNNNNNNNNNNNNNNNNNNNNNNNNNNNNNNNNNNNNNNNNNUCAGCGAAAAUUCCCUUGGACUAUUAACAAGAAAAGUCAUUUAAUAUCAUCACAAGUCCCUCCGUCCCUUGGACUAUAAACAAAAUGUGAUGUAGGAAGAGAAACGUCAUUGGACUAUAAACAAGUAAAGUCUGUUGAGAUCAACGAAAGUCAGAAAGUCCCUUAAGACUAUAAACAAGAAAAAUCCCUUAAGAACAACGAAAGUCCCUUAGUCCCUUAAGAGUAUAAACAAAUAAAGUCCCUUAAGAUCAACGGAAGUCCCGCAGACUCUUAAGACUAUAAACAAAUAAAAUCCCUUAAGAUCAGCGAAAGUCCCUCAGUCUCUUGUACUAUAAACAAGAAAAGUCCCUUAAGAUCAACGAAAAGUCCCUUUGACUAUAAACAAGAAUAGUCCCUUCAGAUCAGCGAAAGUCCCUCAGUCCCUCAGUCCCUUGGACUAUAAACAAGUGGAAUAUGGGAAGGGAAAAGUCCAUUGCACUAUAAACAAGUGAAGUCCUUUGAGAUAAAUGAAAGUCCCUCAAUCUCUUGGACUAUAAACAAGAAAAGUUCCUUAAGAUCAAUGAAAAGUCCCUUGGACUAUAAACAAGAAAAGUCCCUUCAGAUCAGCGAAAGUCCCUCAGUCCCUUGGACUAUAAACAAGAUGGAAUGUGGGAAGAGAAAAGUCCAUUGCACUAUAAACAAGUGAAGUUCUUUGAGAUCAAUGAAAGUCCCACAGUCCCUUGGACUAUAAACAAGAAAAGUCCCUUAAGAUCAACGAAAAGUCCCUUGGACUAUAAAGAAGAAAAGUCCCUUCAGAUCAGCGAAAGUCCCUCCAGUCCCUCGGACUAUAAACAAGAUGGAAUGUGGGAAGAGAAAAGUCCUUUGCACUAUAAACAAGUGAAGUCCUUUGCGAUCAACGAAAGUGCCUCAACCCCUUGGCCUAUAAACAAGAAAAGUCCCUUAAGAUCAACGAAAAUUCCCUUGGACUAAAAACAAGAAAAGUCCCUUGGACUAUAAACAAAAAAGUCGCUCCAGAUCAGUGAAAGUCCCCUCAAUUCCUUGGACUAUUCUGAGUUGGAAUGUGGGAAGAGAAAAGUCCAUUGCACUAUAAACAAGUGAAGUCCUUUGAGAUCAACGAAAGUCCCUCAGUCCCUUGGCUUAUAAACAAGAAAAGUCCCUAAAAUCAACGAAAAGUCCCUUGGACUAUAAACAAGAAAAGUCCCGUAAGAUCAACGAAAGUCCCUCAGUCCUUUGGACUAUUAGCAAAAAAAGUCUCCUAAAAUCAACGAAAGUACCUCAGUCCCUUAGACUAUAAACAAGAAAAGUCCCUUAAGAUAAACAAAGUCCCUUAGUCCCUUGAAUUAAAAACAAGAAAAGUCCAAUAAGAUCAACGAAAAGUCCCUUGGACUAUAAAGAAGAAAAGUCCCGUAAGAUUAACGAAAGUCCCUCAGUCCCUUACUAUAAAUAGAAAAAGGUCCCAUAAGAUCAACGAAAAUUCGCCUUGGACUAUAAACAAGAAAAAAUCCCUUUAAUAUCAACCAUAAUUAAAAAUACCGAUAUAUUUCGCGAUAUUUCGGCGGGAUACGCCGAUUUUUGGAGAAUCGACGUUUUAUAAUCCGGGAAUAAUCGAAUAUAUUCCCGAUAUAUUGAGAUGAAUUUUUUGUUUCGAGUGUCGGAAUGUAGGACUAUGCCAUUUUUUUGAAAUUCGAAAUUUCGCCUGGAUUUGGAAUUUUGAACCUUGAUAUCAACUAAAGUCCCUCCGUCCCUUGGACUAUAAACAAGAUUUGAAUGUAGGAAGAGAAAAGUCCAUUGGCUUACAAACAAGUAAAGUCCGCUGAGAUCAACGAAAGUCCCUCAGUCCCUUGGACUAUAAACAAAAAAUGUCACUUAAGAUCAACGGAAGUCCCUCAGUCGCUUGGAUUAUAAACAAGAAAGGUCCCAUAAGAUCAGCGAAAAUUCCCUUGGACUAUAAAUAAGAAAAGUCCCUUAAUAUCAACGAAAGUCCCUCCGUCCCUUGGACUAUAAACGAAAUGUGGAUGUAGGAAGAGAAACGUCCAUUGGACUAUAAACAAGUAAAGUCUGUUGAGAUCAAUGAAAGUCAGAAAGUCCCUUAAGACUAUAAACAAGAAAAAUCCCUUAAGAACAACGAAAGUCCCUCAGUCCCUUAAGAGUAUAAACAAAUAAAGUCCCUUAAGAUCAACGGAAGUCCCGCACACUCUUAAGACUAUCAACAAAUAAAAUCCCUUAAGAUCAACGAAAGUCCCGCAGUCCCUUGGAUUAUAAACAAGAAAAGUUCCUUAAGAUCUACGAAAAGUCCCUUUGACUAUAAACAAGUAAUGUCCGUUGAGAUCAAUGAAAGUCCCUCCGUCCCUUGGACUAUAAACAAAAAAGUCCCUUAAGAUCAGCGAAAGUCCCUUUGACUAUAAACAAGAAAAGUCCCUUCAGAUCAGCGAAAGUCCCUCAGUCCCUUGGACUAUAAACAAGUAGAAUAUGGGAAGAGAAAAGUCCAUUGCACUAUAAACAAGUGAAGUCCUUUGAGAUAAAUUAAAGUCCCUCAAUCUCUUGGACUAUAAACAAGAAAAGUUCCUUGAGAUCAAUGAAAAGUCCUUGGACUAUAAACAAGAAAAGUCCCUUCAGAUCAGCGAAAGUCUCUCAGUCCCUUGGACUAUAAACUAGUGGAAUGUGGGAAGAGAAUAAGUCCAUUGCACUAUAAAUAAGUGAAGUUCUUUGAGAUCAAUGAAAGUCGCACAGUCCCUUGGACUAUAAACAAGAAAAGUCCCUUAAGAUCAACGAAAUGUCCCUUGGAAUAUAAACACGAAAAGCCCCUUGGACUAUAAACAAGUAAGUCCCUUCAGAUCAGUGAAAGUCCCUCAGUCCCUUGGACUAUAAACAAGAAAGUCCCUUCAGAUCAGCGAAAGUCCCUCAGUCCCUUGGACUAUAAACAAGAUGGAAUGUGGGUAGACAAAAGUUUAUUGCACUAUAAACAAGUGAAAAAACCUUUGAGAUCAAAGAAAGUCCCUCAGUCCCUUGGACUAUAAACAAGAAAAGUCCCUUAAGAUCAACGAAAAGUCCCUUGGACUAUAAACAAGAAAAGUCCCUUCAGAUCAGCGAAAGUCCCUCAGUCCCUUGGACUAUAAACAAGAUGGAAUGUGGGAAGAGAAAAGUCCUUUGCACUAUAAACAAGUGAAGUCCUUUGCGAUCAACGAAAGUGCCUCAACCCCUUGGCCUAUAAACAAGAAAAGUCCCUCUAGAUCAACGAAAAGUCCCUUGGACUAAAAACAAGAAAAGUCCCUUGGACUAUAAACAAAAAAGUCGCUCCAGAUCAGUGAAAGUCCCUCAUUUCCUUGGACUAUAAACAAGUUGGAAUGUGGGAAGAGAAAAGUCCAUUGCACUAUAAACAAGUGAAGUCCUUUGAGAUCAACGAAAGUCCCUCAGUCCCUUGGCUUAUAAACAAGAAAAGUCCCUAAAAUCAACGAAAAGUCCCUUGGACUAUAAACAAGAAAAGUUCCGUAAGAUCAACGAAAGUCCCUCAGUCCUUUGGACUAUUAGCAAAAAAAGUCUCCUAAAAUCAACGAAAGUACCUCAGUCCCUUAGACUAUAAACAAGAAAAGUCCCUUAAGAUAAACAAAGUCCCUUAGUCCCUUGAAUUAAAAACAAGAAAAGUCCAAUAAGAUCAACGAAAAGUCCCUUGGACUAUAAAG
This 4523-nucleotide long non-coding RNA is filed under the name Aquilegia coerulea. Its description in RNAcentral is "long non-coding RNA (ACOE_LNC002331)". The record is from RNAcentral. Lineage: Eukaryota; Viridiplantae; Streptophyta; Magnoliopsida; Ranunculales; Ranunculaceae.